Molecule: transfer RNA, 84 nt
Rfam family: tRNA
About the family: Transfer RNA (tRNA) molecules are approximately 80 nucleotides in length.
Source: Rfam
GCCCAGAUGGCGGAAUUGGUAGACGCACUAGGUUCAGGUCCUAGCGGUGGCAACACUGUGCAAGUUCGAGUCUUGUUCUGGGCA